UAUCGACAGAGUGUGAGUAGCUCCGCUAGCAUUAAAGGUACCCUGAGGAAGAGAGAGGUGCUGCUGUACAUGGCCUUCUGUUUGCUUGGAUUACGAUCAGACGAGAUUGAUUAGGAAUUUUAGCAUUAACACCAGUUGUGUUUAAGGACGGACUUUUACCUCACCUCAUCUCAUCACAGAACUCCAGAGUGGCUGUUCCUGUGUUUCUUGGAUAUUGUACUGUGACUCGUGGACUAUCAACUUCUUAUUGGGCUGAGGCCUAGAUGAAGACAGCCAAUGGCGUGGUGGAGUGAGUGCCAAGGGGGAAGGGGGGUCAGUACGCCCCGUAUCUCACUACCUGGGGUGGUUCUUCUCCUGCUGGGGACUGCUGGACUUAUCUCUCAACUCGUCAGUGCAGGAUCAGGCUGUAUAGAUGGACGUGGGGAUGGACUGCGACGUCACAAGCGGGUGUCAGCAUGUAUGGGGCGGUGGAACGGACACAUUCAGAACAGCAGUUCGUUGUGUGCGCCUGGUUGGAGGGUGUGUUCCUGGUACGAUGGCGAACUCCUCCGGAACAUUUCAUGGAGGGACGCCAUGUCUGUGGGCGGGUGUUAUGCUUUCAAUGCAGCCCAAGAUGGAGGAAGAUGUCGGGAGUGCCGAGAUGACCUGGAGCAGGACGACCUCGCAGGCAUCGGACGAGGAUGUGCCCAUCAGAACCUGGGCCAAACGUCAUGCAUCAGCGGUGGCCGCAUCGAUGCCAGCUGCUGCGUUGACGCCCACUUCCACCGCGCAUGUCAAUACCAACCAGGCCUGGCUACCGGGAUUCUCUGCUGCAAGAUGCCAGUAAAACGUCCCAAGAUCGCGGUGAAGCCCCCAGAGAAGAUGUACGUGUACACGGGGCUUAUCUUCCUGUUGACAUGUCAGGCCACAGGCAUGCCGCCUCCAAGGGUGCAGUGGUACAAGGACGGGGUCCAGAUGGCCAAGAACAACCAACGCAUCUCUGUGCUGUCUUCAGGAGACCUGUUGGUGACACUGGCCAAGAAGUCGGACACUGGGCUGUACACCUGUGAGGUCAUCAACGAGGAAGGCAUUGACAUGGCCAGCUCCUACGUCGUGGUGUCGGAAUAUUCCUCUGGCUGUGCUGACGGCACCACAGAAGGCCUGCACAUGCACCGAGAUGUACAUGCAUGUGCCGGCGAGUGGAAAGGUCAUGUGAAGAAUGGGAAGAGUCUAUGUCAGAAUGGAUGGAGGGUGUGUAAGCCACAGGACCAGUCUAUUCUACAGGAGUUGACGUGGCUGGACAUAUUUGACCUUGGAGGAUGCUACGCUUACAAUGCUGCUAAUAGCAAGGGGAGGUGCAAGAGGUGUACCAAAAACAAGAUGGCAGGAAUUGGACGGCAGUGUGGGUGGCUCAGAUACUCCCAACACUCCUGUCUGUUUCACGGCAGAAUUGACGUAUUUCACCCCAAAAACAACACAGGCUGUGUGUACAAGGAGAACUACACGUCCGGGGUUGUUUGCUGCAAGAAGAAAAAACGAAGACGGCCUGCCUCCAAGAAGCCUGUGUGCAGCCCGACCUGUGAGAACCAAGGCCAGUGUGUGGCCAACAACCGAUGUCAGUGUUCCAUCGGAUACAAGGGGGCUCGCUGCCAGAACCCCAUCUGCAGUCCGGGGUGUGGGACCAAGGGCCGGUGUGUUUCCCCCAACAAGUGCAAGUGUCAUACAGGCUACAUGGGCAAGUUCUGUCGCAAGAAGGUCAUCAAGUGUCAUAAGCCAUGUUUGCAUGGUGGCCGAUGUUCGAGGGGGAAGUGUCGAUGCCCUCCAACACACUGGGGAAAUUCCUGUCAAUAUCUGCUUCAGCAUAUUCUCCUGUCUAAACUGAACCGCACGGAGAGAUGAGAAGCCGGACAAGGAUGCCUGGAUUUACCCCCUCACUGCCACAGGUGUACAGAAGCACGGCGACUGGGACGGAGGACAGACGUGGAGGAGGCCAACUUGGCCCACACUGAUGAUGAAGUAGUUGUUGUUUCUCAAGGAAGGCUCUUGUGUAUAUUGUUGUUUCAUUGUAAAUUGUGAAAACUGUACAUAGACCUGUUGACUAUUUAUAAAGAAAUAUGUUUACCACAUGAUGUAUAUAAUGUUUUAUUAUUUCUACAGUCAUUGCAAAUGGCCCAUCUAUACACACUGUGCUAAUGUAUUUGAAAUCCGCUGUCUACGUGUAGUUUCAUACCAGUGACUAAGAAGGCAUUUGGUAGAUCGUUGAGGCAUUAACAUGUCAGUAACCUAGUUGCUUACUCUCGUAUAUCUUUGGUGUUUUUGACAUGCUACUCAAAUAUUGUAAAGGACAUGUCUGAUCACUGUUGAUGCGAAGUCAAAGAUGUGAGAAACAUAAGAAUGCAAAUUGGAAUAUUUUCUGUACGCUUGGUCCACAAGCUAUAUGUCACCAGUUGAUUGUCCUCAUACAUGCAACGUGGCCUGGUACAAGAUGGCUGCCAGAACGUCUCUGACAAGUCAACAUUAAAGGUGGUCAAGUCUAAGCUGGGAGCUCAUUAUCCUUCAGCAUUCGACAACCAAUAUCCUCAGUUGAGCAAGGAGCUGGACUAGAAGUUGCAUACUGUUCAGAUUAGAUUCUGCAGUACUGUUCAGACUAGAAGUUGCAGUACUGUUCAGACUAGAAGUUGCAGUACUGUUCAGACUAGAAGUUGCAGUACUGUUCAGAUUAGAAGUUGCAGUACUGUUCAGACUAGAUUCUGCAGUACUGUCCAUGGGGAGAAUCUUGGCAACACAAAUUUGAUAUCUGCAGUAAAGUAGAUGAUACUAAAUACAAUUAAGUGAAACUGAAACUUAGCCCCAAACAAUUCUCCAUGGUUGAAUUACAUUUUUGCAUCCUGAUUUAUAUUUAAAUCCUCCUUUGAAAUCGCUACAUAAUAUACGACAGCCCCCUGCCUUUCAUCAGGCUCACUCGUCUUGGUUUAGAAACACUGGACUCAACAUGCUUGUUCUUCUAUAUUUAAACAUUUAGGGCAGUUACUGGCAACUCUGGUACAUUGUGUAACUUGAAUUGUUGGUUUUUUCAGUGUUGUGUAUUGCAUUUUGUAAUAUUUCAUUGUUUUAGUCUCAGUGCACAUUUUACAUUUUCAGGCUUUUCUACCCUGAUUAUUGUCUGUGUGUAGAGAUGAUAUGUUACCAUUAUAGUAUACUAUGUGAUAAUAUGACUUAUUGUGUGUAGAGAUGAUAUGUUACCAUUAUAGUAUACUAUGUGAUAAUAUGACUUAUUGUGUGUAGAGAUGGUAUGUUACCAUUAUAGUAUACUAUGUGAUAAUAUGACUUAAUGUAAUCAUAAUGAAUAACUACACUGGUUAGAUGAUACGAUAAACUGUUUCUGACUAGCUACACUGUAGGUGAUGCUUUAGACCAAUGACACUGAUGUACUAUCAAGUAUUACAUAGUAGACCACUAACAAUAUGUUAUAUGCACUGAGACGUUGUCCACAAUGUUGCCCGGAUGUUGUGAAGUGCAGGAACCAGUGAUGCCCCACUUCUCACACACUUCCCCGUAGUUUCCAACUUCAAGUUCCAUGUACCUUAUAUGUCUCAGGAAACAAUUCAUGCAAGAUAUUAUGGGUAUCAGUUUCCCAGUCACACACAAGACACUUGAAAACAAAACACUGAUAGACUAUUGUAUAGAGCUGACUUACAGAUUGCUUCAUUCUUCGAGCUCACAUGUAGUGAUAGUUUGAAACAUUAAAGAGUCUCUUGAUCUAUUUUGUUGUAUUGAUUUGUAUUGCAAUCUUGAUACUCAUGAAUUUCAUUAAUUCAUUUUGUUUAAUUAUUUGUACUGAAGAAUCAUAUAAAAACGUCUACAUAAGAUAAAACCGAGGUUCCAAAAGCUUUUCAUUUGUCCAUGAAGAUUAAAUUGUUUUGGUUUGUAAUCCUAGAUUGUUAUUGGCCUGAACUGCUUGUAGACUUGUAGUGUACAAACUACCUCAGACUAGUCUCGUGUCCUGUGUACAUACGUCAUAUACCACACUGUAUGUUGUCGCUAACACUUGUAGCCACUGCUCACCUCCCAGGGACAUCAACAUCCUUCAUCUUUAUUCUCACUUUGCACUUUCCUAACUGGCAUAAACAAAUUGUCAAGUUAUAAUGUUUCCUUAGCAACACAGAAAGCUGAUCAAGUGUCAUGGAGACACUGUUGAUGUAACAGUAUUGGUAUUUGAUGUUUUUGGAUUAGAAUAUGCUCCUUCAAUGUCCGAUAUUUAGUUCAUUUUCUGCACCAAAUCCGUUGUGAUCACACCAGUACAUCACCAUCCUGUAGGAAUAUGGGUUGUUUUGAGGGUUUGUCUUCAAUGACACUUGUAUUUCAGGAUUCUGUCCCACCAGACCCACCGUUAAUCCCAGUAUUUCCAUUGUCUCUUGGAGGAAUUUGUCUUCUCAGUCCCCAUGUGUAACAAAACAUAAACAAAAUCCUUGUCUUCAUCCAAUGAGAAAGGGCUUUUCUAAGUUGGAUAACUUGUGCCCAAUCCAAUGAAUUCAUGAAGAGGAAAUAUUUCUUUCUAGAAACCUGUUUUUGUUUAAUCUGUCAGUCCAGUAUCUCUUUACCAUUAUAACCAUACAACUGUAUUUCAUAAUUUGAAAA
RNAcentral lists this unclassified non-coding RNA (4617 nucleotides) under Haliotis rubra (blacklip abalone). RNAcentral's name for it is "hemicentin-1-like, transcript variant X1". The record is from RNAcentral. Lineage: Eukaryota; Metazoa; Mollusca; Gastropoda; Lepetellida; Haliotidae.